This 66-nucleotide transfer RNA is filed under the name Pedetontus zhejiangensis. RNAcentral describes it as "tRNA-Gly". Lineage: Eukaryota; Metazoa; Arthropoda; Insecta; Archaeognatha; Machilidae. The record is from RNAcentral. RNAcentral also lists the same sequence under 1 other name.
AUCUUAUUAAUAUAUUUGUAUAUUUGGCUUCCAACCAAAAUGUUUAAGAAAAUCUUAAAUAAGAUA